AGUCGAGAGGAAACAGCCCAGAGCAUCGACUAAGGCCCCUAAGCGUACGCUAAGUGGGAAAGGAUGUGGAGUCGCAGAGACAACCAGGAGGUUGGCUUAGAAGCAGCCACCCUUGAAAGAGUGCGUAAUAGCUCACUGGUCUAGUGAUUCCGCGCCGACAAUGUAGCGGGGCUCAAGCGUACCGCCGAAGUCGUGUCAUUGCAGCUAUAGCCCCAACGGGUGCUGUGAUGGGUAGGGGAGCGUCGUGUGCCGGGUGAAGCCGCGCCGGAAGGCAGUGGUGGACGGUUCACGAGUGAGAAUGCAGGCAUGAGUAGCGAUACACACGUGAGAAACGUGUGCGCCGAUUGACUAAGGGUUCCUGGGUCAAGCUGAUCUGCCCAGGGUAAGUCGGGACCUAAGGCGAGGCCGACAGGCGUAGUCGAUGGAUAACCGGUUGAUAUUCCGGUACCCGCUGUGAAGCGUCAAACAUUGAACCAGGCGAUGCUAAGUCCGUGAAGCCGCCCCGGAGCCUUCGGGCAAGGGGGAGUGGUGGAGCCGACGGACCAGACCUGUAGUAGGUGAGUGAUGGGGUGACGCAGGAAGGUAGUCCAUCCCGGGCGGUGGUUGUCCCGGGGUAAGGGUGUAGGCCGUGCGAUAGGUAAAUCCGUCGCAUAUUGAGGCUGAGACCUGAUGCCGAGCCGAUUGUGGUGAAGUGGAUGAUCCUAUGCUGUCGAGAAAAGCCUCUAGCGAGUUUCAUGGCGGCCCGUACCCUAAACCGACUCAGGUGGUCAGGUAGAGAAUACCGAGGCGUUCGGGUGAACUAUGGUUAAGGAACUCGGCAAAAUGCCCCCGUAACUUCGGGAGAAGGGGGGCCAUCACUGGUGAUCGGAUUUACUCCGUGAGCUGGGGGUGGCCGCAGAGACCAGCGAGAAGCGACUGUUUACUAAAAACACAGGUCCGUGCGAAGCCGUAAGGCGAUGUAUACGGACUGACGCCUGCCCGGUGCUGGAACGUUAAGGGGACCGGU
Molecule: ribosomal RNA, 1006 nt
Filed under: Streptomyces venezuelae
Lineage: Bacteria; Bacillati; Actinomycetota; Actinomycetes; Kitasatosporales; Streptomycetaceae
Description: partial 23S ribosomal RNA
Rfam family: Bacterial large subunit ribosomal RNA
Source: RNAcentral